UGGGGUGUCGCCAAGUGGUAAGGCAGCGGUUUUUGAUACCGCCAUUCCCAGGUUCGAAUCCUGGCACCCCAGCCA
Molecule: transfer RNA, 75 nt
Filed under: Devosia psychrophila
Lineage: Bacteria; Pseudomonadati; Pseudomonadota; Alphaproteobacteria; Hyphomicrobiales; Devosiaceae
Description: tRNA_Gln_TTG
Rfam family: tRNA
About the family: Transfer RNA (tRNA) molecules are approximately 80 nucleotides in length. Their secondary structure includes four short double-helical elements and three loops (D, anti-codon, and T loops). Further hydrogen bonds mediate the characteristic L-shaped molecular structure. tRNAs have two regions of fundamental functional importance: the anti-codon, which is responsible for specific mRNA codon recognition, and the 3' end, to which the tRNAs corresponding amino acid is attached (by aminoacyl-tRNA synthetases). tRNAs cope with the degeneracy of the genetic code in two manners: having more than one tRNA (with a specific anti-codon) for a particular amino acid; and 'wobble' base-pairing, i.e. permitting non-standard base-pairing at the 3rd anti-codon position.
Source: RNAcentral